RNAcentral lists this ribosomal RNA (732 nucleotides) under Limnadiidae gen. n. sp. M045. RNAcentral describes it as "partial large subunit ribosomal RNA". It matches the Rfam family "Eukaryotic large subunit ribosomal RNA", at positions 159 to 737 of the family's 3401-position model. The record is from RNAcentral. Lineage: Eukaryota; Metazoa; Arthropoda; Branchiopoda; Diplostraca; Limnadiidae.
GACCGUGCGCGUCUGUCCGGUAUCGUCCAAGUCUCCAUGAAUGGGGCCAGCAACCCAGAGAGGGUGUCAGGCCCGUGGGACGAGCCGCGACGGCGUAUUGGGUCUCUCCUUAGAGUCGGGUUGCUUGAGAGUGCAGCCCUAAGCGGGAGGUAAACUCCUUCUAAGGCUAAAUACGGCCACGAGACCGAUAGCGAACAAGUACCGCGAGGGAAAGUUGAAAAGAACUUUGAAGAGAGAGUUCAAUAGUGCGUGAAACCGUUCAGGGGGUUAAACGGGUGGGCCCUCGAAGGUCGAACGGUCCCCAUUCCAGUCAUUCGCAGGCCGGUCCGCGUCGUUUCAUCCGAUCUCGCUACGAGACGGUGCGGCGCGGGUCGCCGGUCUACGAGGGCCGCAAGUUGGGGACCCAGUAGGACUCCGCAACCGUCUGGGAGGCCGUCAGAAGGGUUCCGGUAGAAAGCCCCCUCUGGGGGUGGACUCUGGGAUUUCCGGACGGUCCUCCCGGCCGUAAACCUGCAUUCUCUCGAACGGUGCGUGGGACGAGCCUCGGUUCGCAAGGGCCGGGGUUGUCGGUUUCACAGCCGCUCGGGAGACGCGCGGAGAGUAGAGUCGGGUCCCACCCGACCCGUCUUGAAACACGGACCAAGGAGUCUAACAUGUGCGCGAGUCGUCGGGUUUGACUAAACCCGAAGGCGCAAUGAAAGUGAAGACCGUCCUCGUUGGCGUGUCUAGGGG